This 324-nucleotide ribosomal RNA is filed under the name Triticum aestivum (bread wheat). RNAcentral describes it as "partial small subunit ribosomal RNA". The record is from RNAcentral. Lineage: Eukaryota; Viridiplantae; Streptophyta; Magnoliopsida; Poales; Poaceae.
AUGUACUUCCCGCCUGCAUUCUUCGAUGUUAUGGUGCAUCUGCUGGUCCAUAUUGUGGAGGAUAUCAUCCAACUCGGGCCGAUGUUCCGGUACAGAAUGAUGCCAUUCGAAAGGAUGAAUGGUGUCAUCAAAGGAUAUGUUCGCAACAUGUCAUGUCCAGAGGGAAGCAUAGCCAGGGGCUUUCUGACCGAAGAGUGCAUCUCCUACUGCAUGAAUUAUCUAGACAUCGAGAACCCCGUUGGUUUGCCCGUCAACAGGCACCUCGGCAGGCUCGCUGGAUGGGGUCACCGUGAGGGUCGCCGCGAAAUGCAUGUCGACUUCUAG